GAGUUUGAUCCUGGCUCAGGACGAACGCUGGCGGCGUGCUUAACACAUGCAAGUCGAACGAGAAUCUGCUGAAGGAGGAUUCGUCCAACGGAAGUAGAGGAAAGUGGCGGACGGGUGAGUAACGCGUGAGGAACCUGCCUUGAAGAGGGGGACAACAGUUGGAAACGACUGCUAAUACCGCAUGAAGCAUAGGGGUCGCAUGAUCUUUAUGCCAAAGAUUUAUCGCUUCAAGAUGGCCUCGCGUCUGAUUAGCUGGUUGGCGGGGUAACGGCCCACCAAGGCGACGAUCAGUAGCCGGACUGAGAGGUUGAACGGCCACAUUGGGACUGAGAUACGGCCCAGACUCCUACGGGAGGCAGCAGUGGGGGAUAUUGCACAAUGGGGGAAACCCUGACGCAGUGACGCCGCGUGGAGGAAGAAGGUCUUCGGAUUGUAAACUCCUGUUGUUGGGGAAGAUAAUGACGGUACCCAACAAGGAAGUGACGGCUAACUACGUGCCAGCAGCCGCGGUAAUUC
This 516-nucleotide ribosomal RNA is filed under the name uncultured bacterium. RNAcentral's name for it is "bacterial SSU rRNA". It matches the Rfam family "Bacterial small subunit ribosomal RNA", at positions 9 to 526 of the family's 1533-position model. The record is from RNAcentral.